GAGAUGGACUCAGUGGAGACGCCAUGGCCUGACUAAUGGAUUGUGGAAGCGCGGUUCAUAUACACAAUGGGAUUUUAUACAGCUGUGAAGUUAAGGGAAAUGACGACAUUCGGAGGGACAUCUCUGCCCGGGAUGAAUACUUCUGUCUCUGCUCACCUUCGGUCCAAUGCUAGCCUUCUUCAGGAAGACUUCCCAAGUGACUGCCACUUCUGACCUUGCUCUCCCAGAGUGUCCACAGAAGGCCAUUCUUGUGCGUCUGACCUUGUCGGAUGAGGGUGGAGCCUGAAAUUGAGGAGCCUCUAAGACACUGAUUCCCAAGUCACAUUGCCUGUGUAACCAGGGGAUUGAGUGUUGGGACUAAAGCCAUCUCCUUUCCCCUAAAGUGUGGAGAGAUAACCAAUCUGCCCUGGACUCAACCACGUCUGCCUGUAGAGGCUUUGCAUCCCUGUGGCUGCAAAUUGAAAAGAGUUUCUAUUAAACCAUGUCAUUCCUGCAGCUUGCUAGCUA
Myodes glareolus (Bank vole) is the source of this 507-nucleotide long non-coding RNA. RefSeq lists it as uncharacterized. The record is from RefSeq and is a predicted model, not a curated record. NCBI's taxonomy places the organism in Eukaryota, Metazoa, Chordata, Mammalia, Rodentia, Cricetidae.